AUGGCUGCCGCCGCCUCCGACUCCGACCCCGCCGCGCACCCGCGGGACGACCCCAACCUCCCCUUCGCCUCCUUCUCCCUCUCCCUCUCGCUCCGCACGCCCACCGCCCCCGCCGCCACCCUCGCCUCCGUCCCCUCCGCCGUCCGCCUACCCACCCAAAUCUCCACCCUCGCCGCCUGCCUCCACCCCUCCGCCGCCUCCUCCUCCCCGCGCCGCGCCACCCGCAUCAACGCCGCCGCGGCCUCCCUCCUCUCCCCGCUCACCGCCUCGUCGCCCGGCCUCUCCCGCUCCUUCCCCUCCGGCGCCCCCGGCGCCGCCGGCCGCCGCCGCACGCUCGUCUGGUUCCGCGCCGACCUGCGCCUCCACGACCACGAGCCUCUCCACGCCGCCGUCGGCGCGUCCUCCUCCCUCCUCCCCGUCUUUGUCUUCGACCCACGCGACUUCGGCAAGUCGCCCUCGGGUUUCGACCGCACCGGGCCCUACCGCGCUAGCUUCCUGUUGGACUCCGUCGCCGACCUGCGCCGGAGUCUCCGCGCGCGCGGCGGCGACCUCGUUGUGCGGGUUGGGAGGCCCGAGGUGGUGAUCCCCGAGCUCGCGCGUGCAGCCGGAGCAGAGGCCGUCUACGCGCACGGGGAGGUGUCGCGGGACGAGUGCCGCGCGGAGGAGAAGGUCAGCAAGGCCAUAGAGAAGGAAGGCGUCGAGGUCAAGUACUUCUGGGGCAGCACGCUGUACCACUUGGACGAUCUGCCCUUCAGGCUCAAUGACAUGCCAUCCAACUAUGGCGGAUUCAGGGAGGCCGUCAAGGGGUUGGAGGUUAGGAAGGUGCUGGACGCGCCAGAAGAGGUCAAGUGUGUGCCUAUGAAGAAUGUGCUGGAGCCUGGUGACAUCCCCACGCUUGGUGAGCUUGGACUCUCUGCACCACCGGCCAUGGCACAGGACUCAAAAUCUGCUGCUGGUUCAAAUCUCAUUGGUGGUGAGGCAGAAGCCCUGGAAAGGCUGAAGAAAUUUGCUGCAGAAUGUUGUAUGCAGCCGAAUAAAGCUGUGAAAGAUAGUACUCAGAAUAGCAUAUAUGGUGCUAAUUUCUCCUGCAAAAUUUCACCAUGGCUUGCUACUGGUUGUCUCUCUCCACGUUUCAUGUAUGAGGAGUUGAAGAAGCAUGCCAUUAGAGCAAUUCCAUCCAAGGAUGGUGACGGAACAUCCGAUGCUGGGACAAAUUGGUUAAUGUUUGAAUUGCUAUGGAGAGAUUUCUUCAGGUUCGUCACAAAGAAGUACAGCUCUGCACAGAAGACGUCCGAAGUUGCACCGGCCACUGGUUGCACACCCGCCCCUGCGUUUGCUUGA
Molecule: ribosomal RNA, 1341 nt
Filed under: Triticum aestivum (bread wheat)
Lineage: Eukaryota; Viridiplantae; Streptophyta; Magnoliopsida; Poales; Poaceae
Description: partial small subunit ribosomal RNA
Source: RNAcentral